CAGCAGCCGCGGGAAAACGUAGGUGGCAAGCGUUGUCCGGAAUUAUUGGGCGUAAAGGGCUCGCAGGCGGUUUCUUAAGUCUGAUGUGAAAUCUAUGGGCUCAACCCAUAGUCUGCAUUAGAAACUGUCGGGCUCGAGUAUGGGAGAGGUGAGUGGAAUUUCCGGUGUAGCGGUGAAAUGCGUAGAUAUCGGAAGGAACACCUGUGGCGAAAGCGGCUCACUGGACCAUUACUGACGCUGAGGCACGAAAGCUAGGGGAGCAAACAGGAUUAGAUACCCGAGUAGUCCCUGUCUCUUAUAC
This 301-nucleotide ribosomal RNA is filed under the name uncultured bacterium. RNAcentral's name for it is "partial 16S ribosomal RNA". It matches the Rfam family "Bacterial small subunit ribosomal RNA", at positions 509 to 807 of the family's 1533-position model. The record is from RNAcentral.